Drosophila navojoa is the source of this 341-nucleotide long non-coding RNA. NCBI's taxonomy places the organism in Eukaryota, Metazoa, Arthropoda, Insecta, Diptera, Drosophilidae. The record is from RefSeq and is a predicted model, not a curated record.
UCUGUCAUCGGUCAAUUUACCCAGGCCUUUGCAGUUAUACAUUUUCCAAUUCGAUGGCGGAGUACAGCAAUGGAACCUUUGGAUACAUGGCCAGUGGCUGAUGAGCUGGACUAUUAGCUCCAUGUCUCUGGGCUGUUGGCCAAGCGAGUGACCUGCUAUCAGUUCUCUCGAUCUUGGUCAAUAGCCCCGAGACUGUUUUCGGCUUCUGAUUACCAUUCAAAAUUUCCGAGGACAUCGCUUAUCAAUAUUCGCAAUAACUACCAUAGAAGACAAACCUAACUGAUUUAGAGGAUUUUUUCUCAUUUUAUACAUUGUUUGCUAAAUAAAAAUGUAGAAAAGUA